Long non-coding RNA from Coffea arabica (coffee), 811 nucleotides. RefSeq lists it as uncharacterized. The record is from RefSeq and is a predicted model, not a curated record. NCBI's taxonomy places the organism in Eukaryota, Viridiplantae, Streptophyta, Magnoliopsida, Gentianales, Rubiaceae.
CGGUUUUGCCCCACCAAAGUUGGUUGCCUCUCCAGACGGUUUCGCACCUCAGGACACGAUGGAAUAGAAAUUUUUUCCUUGCAAAAUUUUUCAGUUCACACUUUCCAUCUCUACUUCUUGAUCGAUCGGGCAUAUGCAGACCCAACAAAAAGGUUGAGAAUUUUAUUAAGGCUGGGUGGUGGUAUCAAGCAAGAGAGCGGAUAAAAAAUAUCAGCCGAAAGGUGUGGAUUUUAAGAUCAAGCCGCUCACUGUUGGUGGGAAGAAGUUGAAGCUUACAAUUUGGGAUACCGCUGGACAAGAGAGGUUCAGGACCUUGACAAGCUCAUACUACAGAGGUGCUCAAGGGAUCGUUCUUGGUAUGUCUUGGAAUCGGAGCAUAUGAAGAAAUUUUUUGAUUAUAUUCAACUUCCAAAUUUCGAUAUUGCUGCUGAUGCUGCUGCAACUUUCAAGGAACUCUUGACAAGGCACAAAUAAACUGUAGCUGAAUUCCUUUCAAAGAAUUAUGACUGGACAAAUGCUACUAUGUCAGAUUUUGUGCCAAAUUCACAGCUACUAAGUGGACUCAAGAAGGAUGAAGAUAAAGCUUCUUUUUUGGCUCGUGAAGUAUUUUGGAAGUUUUUAUGACUUUUGAGGCUCGGAUGCUUUUUGUAAACUUGAUUGACUUUGCAUGAACAAUUUGGGUUACACAGUACCACUUCUAUUGUAGUAUUUGUAGGAUGACAUUGAACUUAAACAUUAUAUUUUGGUCCUUUGUAGCAUAAUGGAUGCUUUUAGCUAUUAAUUAGCAGGCCUUUUAUGGUUCUGUUGAUUU